AUUGAACGCUGGCGGCAUGCUUUACACAUGCAAGUCGAACGGCAGCAUGACCAAGCUUGCUUGGUUGAUGGCGAGUGGCGAACGGGUGAGUAAUACAUCGGAACGUGCCCUGUAGUGGGGGAUAACCUACCGAAAGGUAGGCUAAUACCGCAUACGACCGGAGGGUAAAAGUGGGGGACCGCAAGGCCUCACGCUAUAGGAGCGGCAGGUGGAAGAUUAGCUAGUUGGUAGGGUAAGGGCUCACGAAGGCGACGAUCUUUAGCGGGGCGUAGAGGACGAUCCGCCACACUGGGACUGAGACACGGCCCAGACUCCUACGGGAGGCAGCAGUGGGGAAUUUUGGACAAUGGGGGCAACCCUGAUCCAGCAAUGCCGCGUGAGUGAAGAAGGCCUUCGGGUUGUAAAGCUCUUUUGUUUGGGAAGAAAAGUCUGGUGCUAAUACCACUGGAUGCUGACGGUACCAAAAGAAUAAGCACCGGCUAACUACGUGCCAGCCGCCGCCGUAA
RNAcentral lists this ribosomal RNA (506 nucleotides) under uncultured bacterium. RNAcentral describes it as "partial 16S ribosomal RNA". It matches the Rfam family "Bacterial small subunit ribosomal RNA", at positions 30 to 523 of the family's 1533-position model. The record is from RNAcentral.